This 492-nucleotide ribosomal RNA is filed under the name uncultured bacterium. RNAcentral's name for it is "partial 16S ribosomal RNA". It matches the Rfam family "Bacterial small subunit ribosomal RNA", at positions 29 to 507 of the family's 1533-position model. The record is from RNAcentral.
AGUGAACGCUGGCGGUAGGCCUAACACAUGCAAGUCGAACGGCAGCACAGUAAGAGCUUGCUCUUACGGGUGGCGAGUGGCGGACGGGUGAGGAAUACAUCGGAAUCUACUUUUUCGUGGGGGAUAACGUAGGGAAACUUACGCUAAUACCGCAUACGACCUACGGGUGAAAGCAGGGGAUCUUCGGACCUUGCGCGAUUGAAUGAGCCGAUGUCGGAUUAGCUAGUUGGCGGGGUAAAGGCCCAGCAAGGCGACGAUCCGUAGCUGGUCUGAGAGGAUGGUCGGCCGCACUAGAACUGAGACACGGUCCAUACUCCUACGGGAGGCAGCAGUGGGGAAUAUUGGACAGAGGGCGCAAGCCUGAUCCAGCCAUACCGCGUGGGUGAAGAAGGCCUUCGGGUUGUAAAGCCCUUUUGUUGGGAGAGAAAAGCAGCAGGUUAAUACCCCGCUGUUCUGACGGUACCCAAAGAAUAAGCACCGGCUAACUUCGUG